RNAcentral lists this ribosomal RNA (192 nucleotides) under uncultured bacterium. Its description in RNAcentral is "partial 16S ribosomal RNA". It matches the Rfam family "Bacterial small subunit ribosomal RNA", at positions 340 to 524 of the family's 1533-position model. The record is from RNAcentral.
UACGGGAGGCAGCAGUGGGGAAUUUUGGACAAUGGGCGAAAGCCUGAUCCAGCCAUGCCGCGUGCAGGAUGAAGGCCUUCGGGUUGUAAACUGCUUUUGUACGGAACGAAAAGCCUCUUUCUAAUAAAGAGGGGUCAUGACGGUACCGUAAGAAUAAGCACCGGCUAACUACGUGCCAGCAGCCGCGGUAAU